UUCACCCUUGUAGAUGGAUCAGAAGCCAUACACAUUAACCAGUAGGCGUUAAAGCCAUUAAAAUACAACGGCUUUCCAUUAACCAUGAAAUGAUGUGUCCUUGUCUCCACAAAACUAUCGUUAAUGGUUGACGGGUGGCAUUUACCCUUGCAAUCUCCUUUUAGAACUGCAGUUCCUUUUCCUGGCAUGGUUAAAAAAUCGCUAAUCUUUAAUAGUGGAUAUAUGAAAUAGGAAAGUUAGUAACCAAUGUUUAGAGUAAUGGUUGGAAAGUAGUGUGUUUUCUCUUGUCCGCUUAGCUCGUCGAGAAUUUAUAUCGCAUGUCUUGUUACCAAUCUAGUUGGAAGUGGGGACAUCAUCAUAUUUAUUAUAUAACUUAACGAUACAUAUGCAUCAUCAUUCAUAAGGAAUGACAAGCGACUUUGCGAUGCCCAUGCACGGUGCCAUACUUUUGGUUGUAAGACACACAAACAUUUGUUACUCCAAAUGAAAAAGCAAAAGGAAAAAUGAUACUGCUUUUUCAAAUACUGUUGCAGGUAUGUUAUGUUUGGAUACUAGAUCCUUGUGCAUAAUAUGCCAUUAAAAGAUUAGCUUUUAGUCGAGUUCCAAACAUAAAAAAUAUGUUGACCAAACGAAUUGUAUUUAGAGAUUCGAAGAUGGUACUAGAUUCUUUUCAAAUACUAUAAUAUUUUGUUACUCCAUACAUUAGAGACCACAUGUGCUUGAAAAAUAAAUAUAUAAAAAUAAAAAACAAAAAGCCCAAAAUAAACGCACAAGUGGUUGCUUGUGCAUGAAAAACUAGGUACAUUUUGAUUAUUUAUUUAUUUAUUUCUCCACUCCUCCAAACCAUUUUGUUGUUUUUUCGGGUUCCUUUUUUCAUACGUUGAAAUCUAGAAUGCGACUUUCUUACGUUUAUGCAUCACCAUUCAUGGGACAUUUGGUUUCCUUAUUUGACUUUUUAACGUCAUAUAGCAAAUAUAUAUUAAAUUUUAUGUUCAGUUUUCCUGUUGAUAGUUUUUAUCACGUGUAUUCUCCAAAUGGAAUUUGUAUCAAAGUAGAUGUUAUGUAUGUUGCACACAUCACUUUUGCAUGUGAAUUUAUAUUGAUGAUGUCAUGUUUUGUUUUCAUGUAGUUAAUGUAAUAACAAGUGGUUGAGUAGCAUGACAUAUAGCAAGUGGAUGUAUUGUAAUCUAAACAUAACUCGCUUUGCUUGUGUACGAGGUGUUCUCUGUUAUAAUAAAACAACGGAUGUUUGGGGUUCCAAAACCUAUCAUAAUAGGCAAUGUAACUGCUUAGAAGGAAAUUCGAUAGAUCUUAAACCAAUACUUUUAGAAGACUAGUGAGGAAACACUCCCUUAUCAUUUUUUAUGUGUUUGUGCAUCGAUACUAAGUAGUGUAUGAUUAUCCAUUAAUUAAAGUUUAUUCAGACUACACUUGUACACAUUACAUAUAUUAUAAAUCUUUGGUGAUAAAUGCUAGAUGUUUAUAAAAAUGACCCUCACCUUAUAUUAAUUAAUUUAAUCGAUAUUAUUGUUAAUUAUAAAGAAAAUUAUGAAAAUUAUAAAUAUAAAAUUAAACAAACAAUUGUUAGGUUUAAGACUGCAUGCCUAAGAUAAACAUUGCACCAGAAUGUCUACCCAAUAUUGAUAAAGUAUAUUUGAAAGGUAUGACUAAAAAGUUUACAGUCGCUUGAGGGCCUAAGGCUUACAAUGCACCAAAAUUUAUUCCCAAUAUUGACCAAGGAUAUUUCAAAGGUACGACUAAACCGUAAGUUUAUAGUUGCGGAUAUAACAUUGCGAUCGAAAAUAAAGCAGGAAUUUUUGAACUCCAAUUAAUUUGAGUUCCCUAUUAUAUAAUCUUGUAGACAAAUGAGAAAUAAUCAGUUUAGUUCUUCUACAAGUCCAGUUGUAUUAAUCAAUGAUUUUACUUAUUAUAUUGAGAUAACAUCCUCAUAAUUGGAAAGGUUUCAUGAAAAAUCAUCAUCACAAUUCUGAGUUUGCUGACAUAAAUAUUCAUAUUAUAGAUUACAAUAAAAGUAACAUUCCUGCCAAGACCCUAAUAUAUGUGUAUUAAUAAUGAUUUAUGUAUUUGUUUAAAAAAAUUGGAUUUUAGAUUACCAAGAAAUAACAUUUGCGCCAAGACACCAAUAUAUGUGUUAAUUACUCCUUAAGACUAUAUUUUCUUCACCGGCAUACGUAACUUAAUCAUUUAUCUUCUUUAUUAGGAGUUUGAUGUCAAAAAUAACUUAAAUAGUUUUGAAUUGAUCUUCUUUUGUUUGUUAAAACUUAGGUAAUAUUGUUUAAAACAUGAAUUAGUAUUCUACAAAUUAUAUUGAAAUAGGUUUCGUGGCAUAUUAACAAGAUGUUUUUUUUUUUUUGGUUUAAAUCACUUGGAAAAAGUCAUCCAAUAGCUUUGUACAUCCCCCCUGUCUCUCACACACAGACACACACAUACACAUACACACACACACACAUUUCGGACGGUAUUAAGUAAUGGUUUGUUUAAGUAUCACAACUCCCACAAACAUAAUUUUAAUUCAAAAUCAAGAUCUAAAGGCAUAAUAAUUAUUGGUAUAUCAUGACUUAUAUCCAUUGUCAAGCAAUAUUAAUAGGAUAAGUAUGCAUUUCAUGCAGAAAAGUCUAAUUAUAUUGAGAUUUUUUUUGAUAAAGUCGUAAAUCUUUUUUUAAUAGAAUAAACCUGAUUGUUUAACAUUUUACCCAAAUUAAGGAAAAAGUUUUUUUUAAUUGGGAAAGACAGAUUAUAUGAUUUUCCCAAAAUAACGAGACUUUUUUGUUAAAAAAAAAAGAUUUAUGAAUUUAUCAAAAAAAAAAAAAUCCAAAAUAAUGANUGAAUUUAUCAAAAAAAAAUUCCAAAAUAAUGAGACUUUUUAGUAUAAAACUCGGGAAAAUAUUUGUUCAUUUAAGUAUCACCACCCCAAAGGCACAAGUGUAAUACAAAAUUUAGGUAAAAAAUCUUGAGAUUUAAUGAUAUAUCAUGACCUAUAUCCCUUAUCAACUAAUAUUAAUAUUCCUCUCGUCGAUGAUUUGCGAUCAAAAAGUGGUUUGAAUACAUAUAAAAGGAUUCACAUAUGUUGACGUGACUUGUGUGUUUGAUAGACAAAGUAUUUAUAACAUUAAGAAAAGAUAGACAAAAGGUAAGAAAACACAUAAAAAUACCUUACAUAUAUUACCAUAUUUAUUGAUAAAAAGGAAAUGCAUCAAUUUUCCCACUUCGUCCAACAAUACUGAGUUGAAGUUACCCACGGUACAACAUUACUAAUAGGUUGUUUCAUGCAAAAUGGUUGCUACCUGUAUCUUUAUUUUCAUUUCACUAUUUAAACUUCACAUUUUCUAAAGGUAAGUAACGCAGCAGAGAGAAAUAUCAUUUUAUCUCGAAAGGGAUAAUUAUUUGUUCAGGAACCCAACAUAGUUAUUUUUCAACAGCAACGGGAGAGAACUCUAGGUUGGUUGAAGAGUUGAGUGAUGAAAUUCUUUGAGACUGCUUGGCAAUUAUUGCAGCAGUGGAGGGGUUUUGGUCCAAGACAACUUGGUACCCAUCACCCCAGUUAUCCAUUCCUUCCGCCAUGACUUGCCAAAAAGUUGUACCUGAACACGACCCCCGGUUUCUUGCACUUUCAUAGGCCGUGUUGAAUAUCCCACCAAAGUACUCAUCCCUUGCUUCUACGGUGUAACCUGAAGACCAAGAGGACUUGCCAAAUUCUGCAAUCAGUAAAGGUUUUCUCAAGAUGGAAUCACAAUCCUCAAUAUGUGCAUUAAUCCAUUUUUCAACAAAUUUAGCUCGAGCUUCAUCGCUAGCUCCCGGAACCCUAAGUCAAAAAUCGAAAUACCCACAUAUGUUAUUCAAUAAAAUUAAAUAACAUAAAAUAUUGUUUUAGUUAUAAAUAAGAAACAUGCAUUUCAUGAAACAUUUUUAGGAUGCUAACUACGUUCGGGUGUUGGCUAGCGUGACAUGCAAAGUAUAUAUACGAACAAAAGCAUUGUGAUGGAGUUUAUAUGUCGGUAUAGACUCGAUCAUACCAUUGGUCGGGAUACAGAUGGAUUGUAGCAAAAUCCACAUUGUUGACGCCGUUGUUUGUAAUGAAGUCGGUCCCUACUUCAUAGCCCGGAUUGUUUUGCUUCUUUUCAGGCAUUGAUUCCCCAUAAAACCCUUCAAGUCCGAUUUCGAGAAGAUGGUUCUUAUCAAUGGACUUUAUUUCAGCUGCCAUUUCUACUAUCCAUUCCUGCACAAAGAAGAGAUACCGAUGGUUAUAGGUUAUGCACCAUAUAGUUUCAUAAAAAACCGGUUUCCUCUAUGUACUCCUAUCAUUUGAAAGUAAAAGAUUUCCUUCUUUCUAGAUAACUGAUUCGGGCAUUUUCUCAUAUGAACAACUUAACCGUGAGAAAACAGAGAAAACAAGAACCUGUAGAAAUUUCCCUGAUAGAUCAGACUGGCAGCGAGGUUCGUUCAUUAGCUCCCAUGCAAAGAUGGUGAAAUCAUCCUUGUAGUCAACCCCGGUGAUUGAGUUGCGUCUCGUAAGAAUGGUCUGUAGCAAAACAGUAUUUGCAACAUGUUCAAAUUUUCUGACAAAAUGCACAUACAGCUGUUGUAGAAAAUUUUUGUGAUAUAAUGGAAACAUUGUUUCCCAAACAUAUAUAUAUAUAUAUUCAAAUGAUUCUUAUAAUAUCCUUUAACUACAACGUUAGUAAAGAAAUCAUCAUCACUAUUCAAGUAUUGUCCUCCAUGAUCCCUUGCCCACUGAACAUAUUGUUUUUUACCUCCAAAAUCAUCCCAGUUAUUAACCAAGCUGAGAAUCAAGUGAAUCCCAUACUUUUUCGCUUCUGAUAUCACAAAAUCCAAUCCCUGGAAUGAAAAGGUGUAGAUGGUUAUCACAAGUAACAUAAAACAGAGGUGUUAAAGUGUUUGUGAUCUUGAUUAUUACUAACUUUUAUUUCAAUAUGUCCGUGUCGAUUUGUCGUAUGGUUGAUAAGAAAUUACUUUUUAACGUUUACAGAUCAUGUUGAAUAAAAAAUAGAGGCUAAAAUAAUAGAUAAAGUUACCUUAAACAUGUCCUCAUUGUAAAAACCGGGAGAGGUUUGCAGGGGUUUGUUGCCACCAUCACUAAAAGCCCAAGUCCUAACCAGGUUCAUUCCUAUCUUGGAAGAUUCUUGAAAUGCAUCUGUGACCUUUGUUAGUCAAUGUUGACCAUGUAAUCUGGAGAAUAAAAGGGACGCGUGGGAGUGUUGCCAAGUAAAAGAACGUUGCUGAUUUAUCUGCUUUCAGUUUUAUUUUAGUGUAUUUUAAAGUUCAGUUGUUAGCUAUUUUGAAUGAAACUUUUCCAGCUUUCAAUCAUUCAAUAAACAAGCAUUUGGCUACUCUGUCUCCCUUCUUUUCUUCUCGUUUUGAUUUGCUAAUUUGCCAACAAUUGGUAUCAGAGCUUCAAGGUUCUGAUUAAGGUGUAUGCCAAAGUAUAUCAGAUACACUACCAUGACAGGAUCAUCAUCAUCCAAUCCACCCAAAGACAAUCCGUUCCCUUUUCAAUGCCCAAUGCUAACCUCGCAGAAUUAUAAUACCUGGUCAAUUAAGAUGGAAGCCAUCAUGGAUGCCCAUGGAUUGUGGGAUGCCAUUGAGCCACCAACCGGAGUGGAGGUGGACGAUAAAAGGAGCAAGCAGGCUCGAGCCUUCAUCUUCCAAUCAAUUCCAGAAGAGAUGCUUGCACAGGCUGCCAAGAAGAAGACAGCUAGAGAAGUGUGGGACUCUCUAAAGUCACGGUAUGUGGGUGCAGAAAGAGUCCAGAAAGCAAGGCUAAGGGUAUUGAAAAGCGAGUUUGAAGGUCUCCAAAUGAAGGAUACGGAAACCAUUGAUGAUUAUGCAGGAAGAAUAUCAGCCAUGAUCUCAAAAUACAGCAGUGCAGGAGCAACAUUAGAUGAUGAAGAACUGGUGAGAAAAUUGUUUGAUACGGUCCCUGAAAGGUUCAUAAACCUGGUGGCAUCGAUUGAACAAAGCUCAGACAUGGAAUCCAUGCCAUUUGAAGAGGCGAUUGGGCAUCUAAAGGCAUAUGAAGAUCGACUUCGACUCCGGAAGACAAGCACACAAGCAGAUAAUGCCUUGUUACUUGCCAAAACGGAAGGCUCUUCUACUCAUCGAAGUCCAAGAAAGUCAAACACGACAGGUGGUCGUGGAAGAGGAAGAAAUAGUGACAGGGGAGGAAGAGGCAAUUCACGUGGUCGCGGUUCGACGCGUGGCAGAGGUGGACGCUGGGGUGGUGGUUCACGACAAGAAGCUGGGAAUUUCAACCGGAAGCCUCGUGACAAAAGUCAUAUACAAUGCUUUGAGUGCCAAGAAUUUGGCCAUUUUGCUUCUGAGUGCAAAGCAAAGAAGCAACAGGAACAAGAGGCGAAUUUAGUUGAAGACGAAGAUGGACCUGCACUCCUGUUAACCAUACAUGGGGAAGAAACUACAAGCAUGGUUCUUUUAAAUGAGGAAAAGGUGUACCCGAACCAACUAAGUGACAGCAAUGAUAAUGAUAUGUGGUAUCUGGAUAAUGGGGCUAGUAACCACAUGACUGGUUCUAAGGCCUUAUUUGCAGAGCUUGAUGAAAAGGUGACCGGACAGGUACGAUUUGGAGAUGGUUCUAAGGUUCAAAUAAAAGGGAAAGGCACAUUACUGUUUGAUUGUAAAANAAACAUAACUCGCUUUGCUUGUGUACGAGGUGUUCUCUGUUAUAAUAAAACAACGGAUGUUUGGGUUUCCAAAACCUAUCAUAAUAUGCAAUGUAACUGCUUAGAAGGAAAUUCGAUAGAUCUUAAACCUAUACUUUUAGAAGACUAGCGAGGAAACACUCCCUUAUCAUUUAUGUGUUCGUGCAUCGAUACUAAGUAGAGUAUGAUUACUCAUUAAUUAAAGUUUAUUGAGACUACACUUGUACACAUUACAUAUAUUAUAAAUCUUUGGUGAUAAAUGCUAGAUGUUUAUAAAAAUGACCCUCACCUUAUAUUAAUUAAUUUAAUCGAUAUUAUUGUUAAUUAUAAAGAAAAUUAUGAAAAUUAUAAAUAUAAAAUUAAACAAACAAUUGUUAGGUUUAAGACUGCAUGCCUAAGAUAAACAUUGCACCAGAAUGUCUACCCAAUAUUGAUAAAGUAUAUUUGAAAGGUAUGACUAAAAAGUUUACAGUCGCUUGAGGGCCUAAGGCUUACAAUGCACCAAAAUUUAUUCCCAAUAUUGAUAAAGGAUAUUUCAAAGGUACGACUAAACCUUAAGUUUAUAGUUGCUGAUAUAACCUUGCGAUCGAAAAUAAAGCAGGAAUUUUUGAACUCCAAUUAAUUUGAGUUCCCCAUUAUAUAUUCUUGUAGACAAAUGAGAAAUAAUCAGUUUAGUUCUUCUACGAGCCCAGUUGUAUUAAUCAAUGAUUUUACUUAUUAUAUUGAGAUAACAACCUCAUAAUUGGAAAGGUUUCAUGAAAAAUCAUCAUCACAAUUCUGAGUUUGCUGACAUAAAUAUUCAUAUUAUAGAUUACAAUAAAAGUAACAUUUCUGCCAAGACCCUAAUAUAUGUGUAUUAAUAAUGAUUUAUGUAUUUGUUUAAAAAAAUUGGAUUUUAGAUUACCAAGAAAUAACAUUUGCGCCAAGACACCAAUAUAUGUGUUAAUUACUCCUUAAGACUAUAUUUUCUUCACCGGCAUACGUAACUUAAUCAUUUAUCUUCUUUAUUAGGAGUUUGAUGUCAAAAAUAACUUAAAUAGUUUUGAAUUGAUCUUCUUUUGUUUGUUAAAACUUAGGUAAUAUUGUUUAAAAUAUGAAUUAGUAUUCUACAAAUUAUAUUGAAAUAGGUUUAGUGGCAUAUUAACAAGAUGUUUUUUUUUUUUUUUUUUUAAAUCACUUGGAAAAAGUCAUCCAAUAGCUUUGUAGAUUCCCCCCUGUCUCCUCUCACACACAGACACACACAUACACAUACACACACACAUUUCGGUCGGUAUUAAGUAAUGGUUUGUUUAAGUAUCACAACUCCCACAAACAUAAUUUUAAUUCAAAAUAAAGAUCUAAAGGCAUAAUAAUCAUUGGUAUAUCAUGACUUAUAUCCUUUGUCAAGCAAUAUUAAUAGGAUAAGUAUGCAUUUCAUGCAGAAAAGUCUAAUUAUUUUGAGAUUUUUUUUGAUAAAGUCCUAAAUCUUUUUUUUAAUAGAAUAAACCUGAUUGUUUAAUAUUUUGCCCAAAUUAAGGAAAAAGUUUUUUUAAUUGGGAAAGACAGAUUAUAUGAUUUUCCCAAAAUAACGAGACUUUUUUGUUCAAAAAAAUAAAGAUUUAUGAAUUUAUCAAAAAAUAAUUCCAAAAUAAUGAGACUUUUUAGUAUAAAGCUCGGGAAAAUAUUUGUUCAUUUAAGUAUCACCACCCCAAAGGCACAAGUGUAAUACAAAAUUUAGGUCAAAAAUCUUGAGAUUUAAUGAUAUAUCAUGGCUUAUAUCCCUUAUCAACUAAUAUUAAUAUUCCUCUCGUCGAUGAUUUGCGAUCAAAAACUGGUUUGAAUACAUAUAAAAGGAUUCCCAUAUGUAGACGUGAUUGUGUGUUUGAUAAACAAAGUAUUUAUAACAUUAAGAAAAGAUAGACAAAAGCUAAGAAAACACAUAAAAAUAUCUUACAUAUAUUACCAUAUUUAUUGAUCAAAAAGUGGUUUGAAUACAUAUAAAAGACGUGACUCUAAAAGCUCUGUCUUCUCAAAACGUGUUGGCGUACCUUUCUACCGGUUCCCUGAGAAUACAAGUGGUUUUGAAAAUGUGUCAACAUUUAAUUUGGUGAGUUCAUCAGUAUAUUUUUUAGAUGGA
This 8811-nucleotide long non-coding RNA is filed under the name Lactuca sativa (garden lettuce). Its description in RNAcentral is "long non-coding RNA (LSAT_LNC005989)". The record is from RNAcentral. Lineage: Eukaryota; Viridiplantae; Streptophyta; Magnoliopsida; Asterales; Asteraceae.